Pelobates cultripes (western spadefoot toad) is the source of this 269-nucleotide non-coding RNA. The record is from the annotation of a GenBank genome assembly. NCBI's taxonomy places the organism in Eukaryota, Metazoa, Chordata, Amphibia, Anura, Pelobatidae.
AGGACCUGAAAGCUUGGGUUGUUUGCUAUAAAAAAGAAAUGGGCCAAAACUCAAGGACUUCUGGAUGAAAUUGGGACAAGUUAAAAGGGAGAAUGCCCUUUGACAGAAUAAUCCCUGUUUUAACUUUGUUUGUAGAAUUCCAACACCUUAAUGUGUGAAUAUUAACACCUUUGUUUGUGGAAUAUCCACACCUUAUGGUGAAUAUUAACACCUUAAUGUGGUCCAUAUUUAAUUUACCCAUUUGUACUUUUGUCCUUUUUUUGUUAUUA